This 164-nucleotide ribosomal RNA is filed under the name uncultured bacterium. Its description in RNAcentral is "partial 16S rRNA". It matches the Rfam family "Bacterial small subunit ribosomal RNA", at positions 355 to 511 of the family's 1533-position model. The record is from RNAcentral.
UAGGGAAUCUUCCACAAUGGGCGAAAGCCUGAUGGAGCAACGCCGCGUGUGUGAUGAAGGGUUUCGGCUCGUAAAACACUGUUGUAAGAGAAGAAUGACAUGGAGAGUAACUGUUCAAUGUGUGACGGUAUCUUACCAGAAAGGAACGGCUAAAUACGUGCCAC